GACAGAGGUCCCAAGCGUUGUUCGGAUUCACUGGGCGUAAAGGGUGCGUAGGCGGUUGGGUAAGGCCGACGUGAAAUACCGUGGCUUAACCACGGAAUUGCAUUGGAAACUAUCCAGCUCGAGGGUUGGAGAGGGGACUGGAAUUCUCGGUGUAGCAGUGAAAUGCGUAGAUAUCGAGAAGAACACCGGUGGCGAAGGCGAGUCCCUGGACAACUCCUGACGCUGAGGCACGAAAGCUAGGGGAGCAAACAGG
This 253-nucleotide ribosomal RNA is filed under the name uncultured bacterium. RNAcentral describes it as "partial 16S ribosomal RNA". It matches the Rfam family "Bacterial small subunit ribosomal RNA", at positions 524 to 776 of the family's 1533-position model. The record is from RNAcentral.